GAUGAACGCUGGCGGCGUGCCUAAUACAUGCAAGUCGAGCGAACGGACGAGAAGCUUGCUUCUCUGAUGUUAGCGGCGGACGGGUGAGUAACACGUGGAUAACCUACCUAUAAGACUGGGAUAACUUCGGGAAACCGGAGCUAAUACCGGAUAAUAUUUUGAACCGCAUGGUUCAAAAGUAAAAGACGGUCUUGCUGUCACUUAUAGAUGGAUCCGCGCUGCAUCAGCUUGUUGGUGGGGUAGUGGCUUACCAAGGCUUUGACGGGUAGCCGGCCUGAGAGGCUGACCGGCCACACUGGGACUGAGAGACGGCCCAGACGCCUACGGGUGGCAGCAGUGGGGAAUCUUGCACAAUGGGUGGAAGCCUGAUGCAGCAACGCCGUGUGCGGGAUGACGGCCUUCGGGUUGUAAACCGCUUUCGCUCAUGACGAAGCUUUGUGUGACGGUAGUGGGUAAAGAAGCACCGGCUAACUACGUG
This 478-nucleotide ribosomal RNA is filed under the name uncultured bacterium. Its description in RNAcentral is "partial 16S ribosomal RNA". It matches the Rfam family "Bacterial small subunit ribosomal RNA", at positions 28 to 507 of the family's 1533-position model. The record is from RNAcentral.